This 253-nucleotide ribosomal RNA is filed under the name uncultured prokaryote. RNAcentral describes it as "partial 16S ribosomal RNA". It matches the Rfam family "Bacterial small subunit ribosomal RNA", at positions 524 to 776 of the family's 1533-position model. The record is from RNAcentral.
UACGAAGGGGGCUAGCGUUGUUCGGAAUCACUGGGCGUAAAGCGCACGUAGGCGGACUUUUAAGUCAGAGGUGAAAUCCCAAGGCUCAACCUUGGAACUGCCUUUGAUACUGGAGGUCUCGAGUCCGGGAGAGGUGAGUGGAACUGCGAGUGUAGAGGUGAAAUUCGUAGAUAUUCGGAAGAACACCAGUGGCGAAGGCGACUCACUGGCCCAUUACUGACGCUGAGGCGCGAAAGCGUGGGGAGCAAACAGG